AACCUGGCAGCACAAUUAAACUAGUCUAUGACAACUUAUAUCAAACGGCGGCUUUCGAUUUAUUUGCGGUAGUUGGAAUCAGGUUGCGGCUCGUAGCGGUAAUUGAUUAUGACUUGUUAGAGCUGAUUCGAGCAAAUUUGAGUUUACUGUUGUAAUGUUCAGGGUGUAACUAAGGUCAGGUGUAGUACUAAAGCGCAUUUAUCAUGGCAUCGGUCAAGAACCUGGUGAUCUUUUGGUAUUUUAUUCACUAUGUUCAAGCAGUAGAUGAUUCCGCAUUGUUGAUGCUCCCAAACGAUCGACUAACUUUAGAUGGUACGAUUUCUGGCAUGGAAAGAUUCAAGCAUCCUAAAAGAAUUUUGCUUGUAACAGACUGUCAUCUCCGGUUUCCUAUACAUUCGCAAAGUUCAUCCGUGGCACCUGCUUCAGGGAACCAGCACGGCUGAAGGAGUUCGCCCAUAUUGGAGCGAUAGGCUGGGUCCAGUCGAAUGGCAGCAUUGCGUGGAAAUGCGGUGGAACCCUGAUCUGGGAUAACAUUGUAUUAACAGCUGCCCAUUGUGCCGUCGAUUCUAACGGUAAUCGACCUGAUGUUAUUAGAUUUGGUGAUCUGAAUAUCUACAGCUCCGAGGACGACGAUUAUGCACAACAGCUCAAAAUAAUUGACAUUAUUGGACACCCUAAACAUCGAUAUGUUGCUCAGUAUCAUGAUAUUGCACUGAUGAAGCUGGAGAAAUACGUUACUACUGAAUACUAGAGUUGAAAGGUGCUUCUUAUAAACAGAAUUUGGUUUCGUUUGUUUCUGAUUAUUGUAUAGCCUUCAUGAAACGGUUGCUCCCGCUUGUCUUUGGACUGACGAGGAAGUUAGAUUCAAACGAUUGGACGCUGCUGGCUGGGGACAAACGGGUUUUGUCGAUGCACAAACACCGGCGCUGCUGAAGGUAUCCCUCAAGCCGAUAGACAACGAAGAGUGUAGUAAAACUUACACAAAUGAAACCAACCACAAAUUACGCCAAGGCCUUCAGGAUCAGCACAUUUGUGCUGUAGAUGAAAAAAUGGAUACAUGUGAGGGUGAUUCAGGGGGUCCACUUCAAAUCAAACUGAUGUACAAUGGAAGGGUGACUCCUUUCAUUGUUGGAGUAACAUCUUUUGGAACGGUUUGGGGCACCUCUUCUCCUGGUGUGUACACGAAGGUGUCGUCCUACUAUGACUGGGUCAUUGAUACCAUGCGAACUUUAGGGAAAAAUGUAAACGAAAAUACUUAAAAUGCUACGUUUUGUGCAUUCCGAUAUGUAAACUGACGUGAAAACGAGGAUGGCAUUAUCACCUCAAGAACUGAUUCUUACGUUAUGACAGACUUAGACCAGCUGCAUGUGCAAGCUGCUGAUGAUUUUCCAAGCUACGUAGCGAAACUGGUAUUCCGUUCUGGAGGUCGUGAAGAUUGCUACGGUGCCAUAAUCGACGAAACUACAAUUUUGACAUUGGCUGAAUGCGUUUUUCAUUGUUGCGUUUAUGACUAACUAUGACUUAUAUAAUAAUAAUUCCAGAAACCUUGUUGAUAAUAUUUUAUAUUCGAAAGACCUACGGAUGAAAGUUGCCGGAUUUCAAGUUCACCCUGGACACACCAAUGGAUCUGCAUAUAAUAAUAUCGCAUUUUUGUUUAUGGAACAAUUUUUGGAUGUUAAUGGAUUGCAAACUGCAUGCAUUUGGCACCAAAAAGAGCUGCCAUCCAAUGAAGUGCACGUUUUCGGAACCGGUAGAGAGGACAUCAACAGACUUCAGCUUGAAGAUCCUUUGAUUGAUCCCACAAUAACUCUACUGAAGCCCCGUCUGACUGUCCAGAAUUCAUCUACAUGUGCUAUUUCCAAUCGAUACCAAAGCAGACUUAAAACUGGAUUGAAAAACGAGCAGAUUUGUAUCGGAGAAGAUUUCUUCUUGGUGCCAAAAUCUUGUGACCUGUUGAUUGAGGGAUCUAUCGAUGCAAUUAUGCUACGUGCAGGGAAUGAGUAUCCCACAACAUUCGGAUUAGUGCAGUUUGGAAGAGAUUGUGGAUUUGGGGAACACACAGUUGCAACCGGAUACGCCAAUCAUCUUGACUGGAUGAAAUCUGUCUGUGAUCAAUCGUACGAGUACCGAAAGAAAUGACGGGCUUCAGUUUCUAGAUCAUGAACUGCGCGAAGGAGAUGCCUGUGCUACCCGGGCAGGAGAGGAUAACAAAAUCAUAACUCAUCAAUAACAUAUUUAGUUAUAAGGACUCAUCGUGUUAUUCGAAAGAUAUUCACGUUUCAAACGUGCUUAUGAAAAUAUCAUAAAAUUUUGAUAUCAUAUCUCGCCAUGCCUUUAAUGAGAUGUUUGACAUGAUUUUAAAAUAUCUGAUUAAAAGUAAGAUUUUAAGUAAAAUUUUUUGAUAUUGAUUAUUUAUAAUGUAUCAGUUAUGCAUUCAGUGUUCAAUAAGUUGAAAAUAUCUGAAUCGGUCAUUUUCGUGAUUUUUAAUGCAAAUUCAUGGUUUGUUAUUGAAAUAUCAAGCUUUGUUAUUCAUAUAGUCUUGGAGGAACAAUAUUUUGGUAUUAUUUUUUGUUAUUUUACCAACUAUGUAAACCAUAUUAAGAUCAAAAUGAGGUGUAUUUCCAAUAUUUGGUUGUGAUAUUAGAAUGAUAUUUUGUCCUGUCCGGGUAGUAACGAUAAUAGAAAAGUGGGUCGUUGCGUGGCUGUUUCUAAAUGUCAGAGAAAGCUCAAACAAUUGUUAUCCUCUGGCAGUGUCCAUUUUUGUUCUUCCACCUCAGUGAUUUGCUGUUCUCUCGAUGAUAUUGAAGAUGAGUCCGAUAUCCAUCCGGAGUUAGCUGCUUGUCCGAAUGUUCUGCAAAAUAUUCGGCCAAGGUCGUCAGAAGGAUCACUGGUUCACAUAGGUUGGGUUGGGCGAUAUGGUUUGGAUUUCAAAUGCGUGGGCACUAUCAUAACGAGAAGUAUAAUUUUGACCACAGCCAGAUGUCUUAGAGGAGUCGUUCCGGAUGAUAUAAAACUAAUUGUAAAAGGAAGAACCUACACGCUUCAAGUAAGGACUGCUGUCAAGCACUACGCCUACAACGCAACCGACAAUAGCAACGAUAUUGCACUCGUACAGUUGGCAGAGCGUCUGAGAUGGAGUCCCGAUGUCUAUCCCUCGUGCCUUUGAAUGAAUAAAACUCACACUCCCUUAGUACUGGAUAUGGCUUCUCCAAGUGGACCCGUUACUGUGUCCUUUAAUACUGUGUUUGCGAUGUACAAUUCGGACUGCCAGAGGACAAACGAGUAUCAGUUGCCGGAAACUCAGCUUUGUGGGCGGGACCGUUGGCGGGGAGAAACCUGUGCAUUGCCCAGUACAGUGCAUUGGAAACGAAGCGAUGGAAUGAUAUUUGUGGUUGGCUUAUCUACAAACCAGCCGAAUUGUGAAUCGCGGUAUUACAUUGUAUUCACAAGACUUUCAGCUUUCUCCCAAUGGAUAAGUGACAUGCUUCGUGGGUAAUUAACAAAUGACAUUAUGAUUAUUUAGAGUUUCAACGAAAAUAAAG
Wyeomyia smithii (pitcher-plant mosquito) is the source of this 3542-nucleotide long non-coding RNA. RefSeq lists it as uncharacterized. Lineage: Eukaryota; Metazoa; Arthropoda; Insecta; Diptera; Culicidae. The transcript has 10 exons. The record is from RefSeq and is a predicted model, not a curated record.